RNAcentral lists this ribosomal RNA (418 nucleotides) under uncultured beta proteobacterium. Its description in RNAcentral is "bacterial SSU rRNA". It matches the Rfam family "Bacterial small subunit ribosomal RNA", at positions 9 to 431 of the family's 1533-position model. The record is from RNAcentral. Lineage: Bacteria; Pseudomonadati; Pseudomonadota; Betaproteobacteria.
GAGUUUGAUCUUGGCUCAGAUUGAACGCUGGCGGCAUGCUUUACACAUGCAAGUCGAACGGAUCUAGGGGCUUGCUCCUAGGUUAGUGGCGAACGGGUGAGUAAUGCAUCGGAACGUACCGUGUAGUGGGGGAUAACCCGGCGAAAGUCGGAUUAAUACCGCAUACGAUCUACGGAUGAAAGCGGGGGACCUUAGGGCCUCGCGCUAUACGAGCGGCCGAUGUCGGAUUAGCUAGUUGGUGAGGUAAAGGCUCACCAAGGCGACGAUCCGUAGCGGGUCUGAGAGGAUGAUCCGCCACACUGGGACUGAGACACGGCCCAGACUCCUACGGGAGGCAGCAGUGGGGAAUUUUGGACAAUGGACGCAAGUCUGAUCCAGCCAUGCCGCGUGAGUGAAGAAGGCCUUCGGUUGUAAGUAC